RNAcentral lists this ribosomal RNA (253 nucleotides) under uncultured bacterium. RNAcentral's name for it is "partial 16S ribosomal RNA". It matches the Rfam family "Bacterial small subunit ribosomal RNA", at positions 524 to 776 of the family's 1533-position model. The record is from RNAcentral.
UACGAAGGGGGCUAGCGUUGUUCGGAAUUACUGGGCGUAAAGGGCUCGUAGGUGGCCAACUAAGUCAGACGUGAAAUCCCUCGGCUUAACCGGGGAACUGCGUCUGAUACUGGAUGGCUUGAGUUUGGGAGAGGAAUGCGGAAUUCCAGGUGUAGCGGUGAAAUGCGUAGAUAUCUGGAGGAACACCGGUGGCGAAGGCGGCAUUCUGGACCAAUACUGACGCUGAGGAGCGAAAGCCAGGGGAGCAAACGGG